Molecule: ribosomal RNA, 1021 nt
Filed under: uncultured archaeon
Lineage: Archaea
Description: bacterial SSU rRNA
Rfam family: Archaeal small subunit ribosomal RNA
Source: RNAcentral
UCGUGAACAUAGCGAACUGCUCAGUAACACGUGGAUAACCUACCCUUAGGACCGGAAUAACCCCGGGAAACUGGGGAUAAUACCGGAUAAGCCAUAGACGCUGGAAUGCCCUAUGGUUCAAAGCUCCGGCGCCUAAGGAUGGAUCUGCGGUCUAUCAGGUUGUAGUGGGUGUAACGUACCUACUAGCCGACGACGGAUACGGGUUGUGAGAGCAAGAGCCCGGAGAUGGAUUCUGAGACACGAAUCCAGGCCCUACGGGGUGCAGCAGGCGCGAACACUUUACAAUGCGGGAAACCGCGAUAAGGGAACCCCGAGUGCCAGCAUCAAAUGUUGGCUGUCCGGAUGAUUAAAAAUCAUUUGUUAGCAAGGGCCGGGCAAGACCGGUGCCAGCCGCCGCGGUACCACCGGCGGCCCGAGUGGUAGCCGUUUUUAUUGGGUCUAAAGGGUCCGUAGCCGGCCUGAUAAGUCCUUUGGGAAAUCUGGCAGCUUAACUGUCAGGCUUCUAAGGGAUACUGUCAGGCUUGGGACCGGAAGAGGUAAGGCGUACUCCAGGGGUAGGAUGUGAAAUCUGUGUAAUCCCUGGGGGACCAUCAGUGGCGAAGGCGCCUUACCAGAACGGGUCCGACGGUGAGGGACGAAAGCUAGGGGAGCAAACCGGAUUAGAUACCCGGGUAGUCCUAGCUGUAAACGAUGCUCGCUAGGUGUCAGACACGGUGCGACCGUGUUUGGUGCCGCAGGGAAGCCGUUAAGCGAGCCACCUGGGAAGUACGGUCGCAAGGCUGAAACUUUAAAGGAAUUGGCGGGGGAGCACUACAACGGGUGGAGCCUGCGGUUUAAUUGGACUUCAACGCCGGAAAACUCACCGGGUGCGACAGCAACAUGUAGGUCAGGCUGAAGGUCUUUACCUGAUCGCUGAGAGGAGGUGCAUGGCCGUCGUCAGUUCGUACUGUGAAGCAUCCUGUUAAGUCAGGCAACGAGCGAGAACCCGCGCCCACAGUUGCCAGCAUGUUCUCUGGAACGA